UAAAGCCUGCAAGACUCCACUUACAUCCUCUGAAUGCAACUCAGACACUUUGCUUAAAUUAAGGCUUU
This 68-nucleotide transfer RNA is filed under the name Ceratophora stoddartii. RNAcentral describes it as "tRNA-Ala". The record is from RNAcentral. Lineage: Eukaryota; Metazoa; Chordata; Lepidosauria; Squamata; Agamidae.